Molecule: non-coding RNA, 106 nt
Organism: Acanthosepion pharaonis
Lineage: Eukaryota; Metazoa; Mollusca; Cephalopoda; Sepiida; Sepiidae
Source: the annotation of a GenBank genome assembly
CACAUCAUGUUGAAACAACGGUUCCCGUACGAUCAUCGAAGUUAAGCAACUUCAAGCCUUAUCAGUACCUAGAUGGGUAACCACUUGGCAAUAACAAGGGCUGUGU